RNAcentral lists this ribosomal RNA (489 nucleotides) under uncultured bacterium. Its description in RNAcentral is "bacterial SSU rRNA". It matches the Rfam family "Bacterial small subunit ribosomal RNA", at positions 1 to 507 of the family's 1533-position model. The record is from RNAcentral.
ACGUAGUUUGAUCCUGGCUCAGAAUCAACGCUGGCGGCGUGCCUCAGACAUGCAAGUCGAACGAUUAAAGCUCUCUUCGGAGAGUGCAUAGAGUGGCGCACGGGUGGGUAACACGUAAGUAAUCUACCUUCGAGUGGGGAAUAACGUCCGGAAACGGGCGCUAAUACCGCAUAAUGCAGCGGCAUCGCAAGAUGACAGUUGUUAAAGGAGCAAUCCGCUUGAAGAGGAGCUUGCGGCAGAUUAGCUAGUUGGUAGGGUAAUGGCCUACCAAGGCUACGAUCUGUAACCGGUCUUAGAGGACGGUCGGUCACACUGACACUGAAUAACGGGUCAGACUCCUACGGGAGGCAGCAGUCGGGAAUUUUGGGCAAUGGGGGAAACCCUGACCCAGCAACGCCGCGUGAAGGAUGAAGUAUUUCGGUAUGUAAACUUCGAAAGAAUAGGAAGAAUUAAUGACGGUACUAUUUAUAAGGUCCGGCUAACUACGUG